AAGAAAAGGAAGAAGAAGAUCUGCAACAUAUCAUCCCUUUAGUUAUUUAUUUAUUUUUUAAAAGGAAGCAAGGUCCCCUGAGAGAUGGAGGAAGUGUGAGGGCCAGCCAGGGUUUUCUUAAUUUGCCUUGUGGAAAAUCAUGCCAUUUCACUCCGAUGCGGCCAAGGAAAUUACCACGAAAUUACCUCUGCUAACCUUUUAACUUUAACAAUUAUAACAUUGCUAGAUUACCUCUUCUAAGCUUCAGUCCUCAGCACUUUACUCAUAAGCUAACCUUUCCGAUUGCUGCAAUUUGAUCGUUAAAGUCACCAAGUAGGCGGACUCCGACCACCUCAUAAACUCCAUAGAGAGGAGAAAAAGGAGACCAGUUAUUGAUUUCGAUUCUUAGUGAUUGAGUAAGACACGAUCUUGUAACUCUCUGAUAUGGCAUCUUCAUCUACUGUUGCUCAUAAAUGGAAGUAUGAUGUGUUCCUUAGUUUUAGAGGCAAGGAUACGCGCAAUAAUUUUACCAGCCAUCUCUAUGAUGCUUUGGGUCGUAAGAAAAUCAAGACCUUCAUUGAUGAUGGGCUUGAAAGAGGAGAAGAAAUUACCACUACCCUUCUGAAAACGAUUACAGAAUCUAGAAUUUCUGUAGUAAUUUUCUCCAAGAACUAUGCAUCUUCCCCGUGGUGUGUGGAUGAACUGGUGACAAUACUUGAAUGCAAAGAGACUUAUGGGCAGAUUGUUUUACCGGUCUUCUAUCAUGUGGACCCAUCUGAAGUUGAUGAACAGACUGGGAGUUAUGAAAAUGCAUUUGCCGAGCUUGAAAAAAAAUUUAAGGGGAAGAUGGACAAGGUGCCAAGGUGGAGGGCUGACUUGACAUACGCAGCCAGUAUAUCUGGAUGGGAUUCACAGGUUACUAGGCCUGAGUCGAGACUCGUGGAACAAAUAGUGCAUCAUAUUUUGAAGAAAUUAAAUCAUGCAUCCUCAAGUGAUUUGAAGGGCCUGGUUGGAAUGGAUUCACGUAUGAAGCAAAUCGAAGCCUUAUUAUGCACACAGUUACCGGAGGUUUGUUUUGUAGGAAUUUGGGGCAUGGGUGGUACUGGUAAGACAACCAUUGCUGGAGAGAUUUUCAACAAGAUCGCAAGGGAUUAUGAAGGUCACUAUUUUCUUGCAAAUGUGAGGGAAUCAGAAAGGAAUGGAGGAUUAUCUCGUAUGCGAGAUGAACUUUUCUCUAAAAUAACAGAGGAAGAAAAUCUACAUAUUCGCACUCCACGUAUUGGACACCCUUUCAUUAAAGACAGGAUCUGCCGUAAAAAGGUUCUGAUUGUUUUCGAUGAUGUGAAUGAUGUAGAUCAAAUUGAAAUGUUACUUGGAGGAUGUGAGUCGUUUGGUCCAGGAAGUAGAAUUAUCCUAACAUCUAGAGAUAAACAGGUCCUUAAGAAAUAUGCAGACAAAAUAUUUGAGGUUGAGGGACUGAAUCACCGGGAAGCUCUUCAUCUCUUUAGUUUGCAUGCAUUUAAGGAUAACCAGCUCCCAUACAAUUAUAUGAAGCUGUCUGUGAGGGCAAUAAAUUACGCUAAAGGGAAUCCAUUAGCUCUUAAAGUCUUAGGUUCCUUUCUAUUUGGCAGAACGACUAAAGAAUGGGAAAGUGCAUUGAACAAGGUUGAAAAACUAACUCGGCAAAAAGUUCAUAGUGUGUUGAGAAUAAGUUAUGAAGCACUUGAUAGUGAAGAGAAGAGUAUAUUUCUGGACAUUGCAUGUUUCUUUAGAGGGCAUCAAGUUGAUUUUGUAAAGCGGAUACUAGAAGGCUGCGGUUUCAAAACAGAUAUUGGAUUUAGUGUUCUCAUUGACAGGUGUCUCAUUAAAAUUUCAGAUGACAAGGUUGAAAUGCAUGAUCUUUUGCAAGAAAUGGCCCAUGAUGUUGUUCGAAAAGAAUCUCUUGACGUGCUAGGAGGACAAAGCAGAUUGUGGAGUCCUAAAGAUGUAUAUCAAGUGUUGACCAAUAAUCUGGGAACUGGAAAAGUUGAAGGGAUAUUCUUGGAUGUUUCAAAAAUAAGAGAAAUCGAGUUGAGUUCUACAGCCUUGGAAAGGAUGUAUAAACUUAGACUUCUAAAAAUUUAUAAUUCUGAAGCUGGAGUUAAAUGCAGAGUGCACCUUCCUCAUGGCCUCGAGUCUCUUUCCGAAGAGUUGAGGUAUCUCCAUUGGGAUGGAUACCCUUUGACAUCUUUGCCUCGCAAGUUUUGUCCAGAGAACCUUGUUGAGCUUAACCUAUCAUCUAGCAAGGUUAAGCAAUUGUGGAGAGGAGACCGGAAUCUCAUCAAUUUAAAAGAUGUCAACCUCAGCAAUUGUGAGCACAUAACUUCCCUGCCAGACCUUUCAAAGGCCAGAAACCUUGAGAGAGUGAAUCUUCAAUUCUGUACAAGUUUGGUUAAGGUUCCUUUAUCUAUACAGCAUCUGGACAAGCUUAAUGAUUUAGAUUUGAGAGGCUGCACAAGCCUAAUCAAUCUGCCCAGUAGAAUUAAUUCAAGAUGUCUUAAGAGUCUUAACCUUUCUGGUUGUUCAAAUCUCAAGAAUUGCCCAGAGACUGCAAGGAAACUGACAUAUUUAAAUUUAAAUAACACUGCUGUUGAAGAGCUUCCCCAAUCAAUUGGGGAACUCAGCGGACUUGUCGCGUUGAAUUUGAAGAACUGCAAACUCCUGGUGAAUAUUCCAGAAAACAUAUAUUUGUUGAAAUCUCUUCUAAUCGUCGACAUCUCUGGCUGCUCAUCUAUCAGCAGGCUUCCUGAGUUUUCGAGGAAUAUUAGAUACUUGUACUUGAAUGGAACUGCAAUAGAAGAACUGCCAUCUUCAAUUGGUGAUCUAAGGGAACUCAUUUAUUUAGAUCUUUCCGGUUGCUCAAGUAUCACGGAGUUUCCAAAGGUUUCAAGAAAGAUAAGGGAGCUGUAUUUAGAUGGGACAUCAAUAAGAGAGAUUCCCUCUUCAAUUGAAUGUUUGUUUGAACUUCAUGAAUUGCACCUGCGAAACUGCAAACAAUUUGAGAUUCUUCCAGGCAGCAUCUGUAAGUUGAAAAACCUGCGAAGGCUUAAUCUCUCAGGUUGCCUCCAAUUUAGGAGUUUUCCAGAGGUUUUGGAGCCGAUGGUAUGUUUGAGAUAUCUCUAUUUAGAACAGACAAGCAUAACAAAGUUGCCUUCACCGAUUGGAAAUCUGAUGGAACUUGCCUGCUUGGAAGUGGGAAACUGCAAAUAUCUAGAAGACAUCGAAAGUUUGAGACGCAUGAAUUCAGAUUGUUUGCGUAAGCUAAGUCUAGAUGGUUGCAAUCUAUCGGAAGUGCCAGACAGUCUUGGUUGUUUAUCGUCACUGGAACUGUUAGAUCUAAGUGGAAACAAUUUGAGGAGUAUUCCUAGAAGCAUCAAUAAACUCUUGGAGUUGCAAUAUCUAGGAAUAAGGAAUUGCAAGAGACUUGAAUCAUUACCGGAGCUUCCACCACGGCUAUCAAAGUUGGAUGCAGACAAUUGCGAGAGUUUGAAUUAUCUAGAAUCAAGCUCAUCAACUGUAGUUGUGGGGAACAUUUUUGAAUUCAUUUUCACUAAUUGCUUGAGGUUGCGUGGGAUCAAUCAAAUCUUGGAGUACUCAUUGUUGAAAUUUCAACUUUAUACCAAAAGGUUAUACCAUCAGCUGCCCGAUGUUCCAGAAGGGGCAUGUAGUUUCUGCCUCCCUAGAGGUGUCUCUCCGGAGUGGCGUAUCCAUCAAAGUUGGGGAUCUACAGUAACAUGCCAGCUGUCUUCACAUUGGGCUAAUAGCAAGUUCUUGGGUUUCUCUCUUUGCGCUGUCAUUGCAUUUCAUUCUUUCAGCCAUAGUUUGCAAGUUAAAUGCACAUAUCACUUCAGCAAUGAGCAUGGUGAUACCCAUGAUCUCUAUUGCUAUCUCCAUGGUUGGUAUGAUGAGAAGCGCAUUGACUCAGAUCACGUACUCGUGGGAUUUGAUCCCUGCCUGGUUGCCAAAGAAGAUUAUAUGUUUAGUGAAUACAGUGAAGUUUCAGUUGAAUUCCAACCGGAAGAUAUCAACGGCAAUCUCUUACCAUUAGAAUUUUGUCAAGUGCACGAGUGUGGGCUCCAUCUACUGUAUAAAGAUGGGAUACAUGAUUUGAUCAUGCCAGACUACUUUCGUUUUUAUUCUCUAGAUCGAGAUGGAUUGGAAGCAAUGUUCCAAACCAAGAGAGAAAGGUUCCAAAGCACGAGUUGGAAGGAUUAUUAUGCCAUGCGUUUGACCCAUGAAUUUUUGGGUUCCUUAUUGGAAUUUCGACGUUAUUCCGGAGAGUUACACCGUCAGGAGGAGCCCGUUGUUUCAAAAAGGGUACCUAGUUUCCGCUACCAUGGAGAUGUAACUCCGGAGUGGUUUAGCCAUCAAAGUUGGGGAUCUACAGUAACAUGCCAGCUGUCUUCACAUUGGGCUAAUAGCGAGUUCUUGGGUUUCUUUCUUUGCGCUGUCAUUGCAUUUCAUUCUUUCAGCCAUAGUUUGCAAGUUAAAUGCACAUAUCACUUCAGCAAUGAGCAUGGUGAUACCCAUGAUCUCUAUUGCUAUCUCCAUGGUUGGAAUGAUGAGAGGCGCGUCUGCUCAGAGCACAUAUUUGUGGGAUUUGAUCCCGGUCUGGUUGUCAAAGAAAAGGAUAUGUUUAGUAAAUACAGUGAAGUCUUAAUUGAAUUCCAACCGGAAGAUAUAAACGGCAUUUUCUUAGCAUUAGAUGUUUGUCAAGUACGCGAGUGUGGGGUUCUUUUACUGGAUGCCAAAGAUAAACAUGGAGUGGAAACAAGGUUGCAAACCCAUUGAGCAAGGUUGCCAAACCUUGAAGCAAGGAUGGAAGCCCACAGAACAACAUUCCAUGCCGUGAAGUUUAACAUGGGUGUUCGGGUCAGCUUGCGCGUACGUCGACUAAUUCCACGGGCCCUGAAGUUAACGACCAUGUAAGCUUCCAGUGACCAUCAUAUGAGCAACCACAGGGCUCGAACCUGAGACCACAGAGAGAGCAAACUUUUUAAUUUCAAACUUUUACCACUAGGCCACCACCUAGAUGAUUGAUAUAAUUAACUCUCUUGUUAUUAUUAGUAAUAGCUGCUACUAUUACUAAACUGAGUUAUAAUAAUCUUUUGUACUCUAUUUCGGAUGAAGAUUUUGUAAGGCCCCAUCUCCUAGUAGUCUUUUCCGUUCUCGACACUUGUAUAGU
Populus nigra (black poplar) is the source of this 5203-nucleotide RNA transcript. It is a transcript of the gene named disease resistance-like protein DSC1, with no coding region annotated. The record is from RefSeq and is a predicted model, not a curated record. The transcript is spliced from 8 exons. NCBI's taxonomy places the organism in Eukaryota, Viridiplantae, Streptophyta, Magnoliopsida, Malpighiales, Salicaceae.